AUAUUUCCGAUUUAGUCCAGGUUAAGGCUCAUCUGUUGCUCUUGAGAUGUGGUGACUCCUAUGAUACUCUAAAAUGCAGGAAACUUGACCGCAUAAUUCAUGGUAGCAUGGGACUGCGCUCAAGUUUCCCUUUA
This 134-nucleotide small nuclear RNA is filed under the name Meriones unguiculatus (Mongolian gerbil). Its description in RNAcentral is "U1 spliceosomal RNA (ENSMUGG00000003772.1)". It matches the Rfam family "U1 spliceosomal RNA", at positions 33 to 166 of the family's 166-position model. Rfam says of the family: U1 is a small nuclear RNA (snRNA) component of the spliceosome (involved in pre-mRNA splicing). Lineage: Eukaryota; Metazoa; Chordata; Mammalia; Rodentia; Muridae. The record is from RNAcentral.